UCUGCGGUGUCCUUUCACACUGCGAUGAGCUUGGGUCCCUCUGGAUCCCCUCACAUAGCCUCUGUGUGAAUGAUUUUCUUCCAGCAGCUAUACCUACAGCCUCCCAGGAACCUGCUGUUGGCCACUAGAUCUUCUCCAAUUACAUCGGGAGCUGAAGGUGCAUGAAAGUUCAUAUCACCCCGGAGUGGCCCAUGACAUAGCCUUGAGGGAGUAACCGGGAAUGAGUCGAUCAGGUGUACAAAGGCAUUGUUUGGAGGAGAAACAACUUCCCGGUCCACCAGGCUAAACAUCCCAGUUGCAGCAGCCCCAGCAGCCCCAGGAGGAGCCGAGCAGAGGAUCAGUAAAGCCCACAAGAGGAGAGCAGGGUGAGCUGCUGCUUGUUCUUGUCCUGCAGGGCCCAUGGCUCAAAGCAGCCAUAGUGGCCUUCUGUUCCUUAGGGUCACUCUCAAACACCACAGUCCCCUUCACUUCUGAAGGUGGAGCUGUGAACAACACUAAGAAUGACAGUACCUUUCUGCUGGUUAGGAAGGAUUGGGAAACAGCAAGACACACACUAACACCGCAGCGCUGCUCCACAGUGCCAUGCAAGGCAUGUGGGGUGUUCAGGAUCUGCACUCUCUGGACACGCAUGUGUCGCCUGUCUUACCUACAUUUUGGAGGGUUCUGAGACAGUUGCCCUGAUAAAUUCAAUCUCUGUCUAUAAAUAGGGCUAAGCACGCAUCUCCUGGAGUUUUCUUGUGGAUCAAAUAACAGCCUUGUCCUUGUCAGACCCACAUCUUUUCCAGGGUCACUCAGGUCUGCUCAGAUCCUGCCUCCUCCCCGAGUGGCACUGCUGAGAUGAGCCCGAAUGUGGACCUGAGUCCGGCUGGGUGCAGCAGCCCGCAUCCCUGAAUCACCUUCGAGGCUCACAGAUUUCACCAUGGCUAAAUAGUAGCAAGAGGACCACAGGCUGCCAGCCACUUUGCUGAAACUGCAGAGACAGUGUAAACUGCCACCUGCUCCUCUCCUCAGCUCAGAUGAAUGGACAGAGAAGCAACUGGAACACACUAGGGAGAAAACUAAUACACAGGUCUGCAAGGAAUACCAGAUGCUGGCCCCAGGAAGUCGAGGCUGGUUUGAUUCCCACAGGGAGGGAAGGAGCCAAGAAUGGGGAGUAGGGUAAAACAGUGGGGACAUUUUGUAUCCAUUGUCUCCUUGAAUUCCUUCCUCACUCUUCUGCAA
Fukomys damarensis (Damara mole-rat) is the source of this 1221-nucleotide long non-coding RNA. RefSeq lists it as uncharacterized. The transcript is spliced from 4 exons. The record is from RefSeq and is a predicted model, not a curated record. NCBI's taxonomy places the organism in Eukaryota, Metazoa, Chordata, Mammalia, Rodentia, Bathyergidae.